RNAcentral lists this long non-coding RNA (230 nucleotides) under Elaeis guineensis (African oil palm). Its description in RNAcentral is "long non-coding RNA (EGUI_LNC024229)". Lineage: Eukaryota; Viridiplantae; Streptophyta; Magnoliopsida; Arecales; Arecaceae. The record is from RNAcentral.
GAUGAAGAGGGUUGCUGGAAUUUUUAGGCUGCAGUCUGUAGGGCUGAAAAAAGAGAAAGAUUUGGAGGACUUUUUAGAGGCUUUUGGAUAUAAAAUUUUUAUGGCUUGUAGGCAACUGAUGGAGGCUUAGGAUGAAAAAAAUUGAGAAAAAAAGGUUAUACCUAUGGCCAGCUAAAAAUCUAGAAAAAUAAGAUUGGCAUGAAGAAGGGCUGUGGCAUGGAAUCCAAGGC